GCUACGAGCUACACAUGCAGUCGAGCGGAACGAGUUAUCUGAACCUUCGGGGAACGAUAACGGCGUCGAGCGGCGGACGGGUGAGUAAUGCCUAGGAAAUUGCCCUGAUGUGGGGGAUAACCAUUGGAAACGAUGGCUAAUACCGCAUAAUGCCUACGGGCCAAAGAGGGGGACCUUCGGGCCUCUCGCGUCAGGAUAUGCCUAGGUGGGAUUAGCUAGUUGGUGAGGUAAGGGCUCACCAAGGCGACGAUCCCUAGCUGGUCUGAGAGGAUGAUCAGCCACACUGGAACUGAGACACGGUCCAGACUCCUACGGGAGGCAGCAGUGGGGAAUAUUGCACAAUGGGCGCAAGCCUGAUGCAGCCAUGCCGCGUGUGUGAAGAAGGCCUUCGGGUUGUAAAGCACUUUCAGUCGUGAGGAAGGUAGUGUAGUUAAUAGCUGCAUUAUUUGACGUUAGCGACAGAAGAAGCACCGGCUAACUCCGUGCCAGCAGCCGCGGUAAUACGGAGGGUGCGAGCGUUAAUCGGAAUUACUGGGCGUAAAGCGCAUGCAGGUGGUUUGUUAAGUCAGAUGUGAAAGCCCGGGGCUCAACCUCGGAAUUGCAUUUGAAACUGGCAGACUAGAGUACUGUAGAGGGGGGUAGAAUUUCAGGUGUAGCGGUGAAAUGCGUAGAGAUCUGAAGGAAUACCGGUGGCGAAGGCGGCCCCCUGGACAGAUACUGACACUCAGAUGCGAAAGCGUGGGGAGCAAACAGGAUUAGAUACCCUGGUAGUCCACGCCGUAAACGAUGUCUACUUGGAGGUUGUGGCCUUGAGCCGUGGCUUUCGGAGCUAACGCGUUAAGUAGACCGCCUGGGGAGUACGGUCGCAAGAUUAAAACUCAAAUGAAUUGACGGGGGCCCGCACAAGCGGUGGAGCAUGUGGUUUAAUUCGAUGCAACGCGAAGAACCUUACCUACUCUUGACAUCCAGAGAACUUUCAGAGAUGGAUUGGUGCCUUCUGGAACUCUGAG
Molecule: ribosomal RNA, 1010 nt
Filed under: Vibrio harveyi
Lineage: Bacteria; Pseudomonadati; Pseudomonadota; Gammaproteobacteria; Vibrionales; Vibrionaceae
Description: bacterial SSU rRNA
Rfam family: Bacterial small subunit ribosomal RNA
Source: RNAcentral